Long non-coding RNA from Neopsephotus bourkii (Bourke's parrot), 866 nucleotides. RefSeq lists it as uncharacterized. The record is from RefSeq and is a predicted model, not a curated record. Lineage: Eukaryota; Metazoa; Chordata; Aves; Psittaciformes; Psittacidae. The transcript has 2 exons.
UAGCGGAGUGUACUAGCGCACGGAAAAGCGGAGCUGUGAAAGCAGUGCUCCCUCGGAACAGGGGCAUUCAGAGAGAAAAACGCCCUGAUGCGGGAGGUGCGCCGCCAGCCUGCGCCCCGCGGGUUAAUUGCUCAUACCGAGGGCGCCAUCCUGCGUCGGACCUUCCUUUUCCUCUCCUACCUGCCUAGGCAGCUGCUGCUGUGAUGGGUACGGCUGGGUAAUUGAAACAGGUAUCUCUGACGUUGAAAUGGGUAUUUUUUGUUAAUAUUUCAAAGUUCAUGUUUCUUCAGCAAAUUGAUACAUAAAAUGAUCACUUGGAUAAAUCACGCUCACCUCGGAAGCCCUGCAGCAGGAUGCAGCUAGGUGUACCUUAGCCACAUGACCUGUCUCCACUGACAGGCAUACUGACAGGUUCUGCUCAACCUUCUCUGCAGAUGGAGCCGUACACAUGGAGAACAGGGAGAGUCUCACUGAAGUAUGCAGUAUUCACUUACUGAACUUUACAGUGUUAUCAUGUGAGACAAUGGCACCAUGAUCAACAAUAAUGAAUGCUGUGGUUUCUCCAUCAACAACAAACUACCAUCAGCAUUGGGAUCAACUAUGUAUCAGGGCUAUCCUAAUUCUGUCUCUGUCUCUGAUCCUGUUGAGGGAGAACAUGAGUUCUCCCCGUGAUCACUGAGAUGCACAAUGAAUAUUAACAGUAAGUAUGGUGCAGUAUUAAUGGUGUGUGCAAUCCAGUGGUCAUUACCUCUUAGCUUAUUAAAGAGCUUCUCACAAGUGAGAAACAGUUUGCUGUAGAUUAACUGGCAAGGUCACACCUGGGGCGCAGUGCCUUCAUUGUACAAUAAAAAAUUCAAAUGAUUUUA